Molecule: ribosomal RNA, 324 nt
Filed under: uncultured eukaryote
Lineage: Eukaryota
Description: partial 18S ribosomal RNA
Rfam family: Eukaryotic small subunit ribosomal RNA
Source: RNAcentral
CCCUUAGAUGUUCUGGGCCGCACGCGCGCUACACUGAUGCAUUCAACGAGUUUCUUCCUGGUCCGAGAGGAAUGGGUAACCUUUUGAAAGUGCAUCGUGAUAGGGAUAGACUAUUGCAAUUAUUGGUCUUCAACGAGGAAUUCCUAGUAUACGUAGUUCAUCAGACUGCAUCGAUUACGUCCCUGCCCUUUGUACACACCGCCCGUCGCUCCUACCGAUUGAAUGCUCAGGUGAGCCAUUCGGACUUUCAUCAUGCUGGUUUCCAGUUUUGAUGAAGGAAAGUCUUGCGAACCUUAUCAUUUAGAGGAAGGAGAAGUCGUAACA